Molecule: transfer RNA, 58 nt
Filed under: Loxodonta africana (African savanna elephant)
Lineage: Eukaryota; Metazoa; Chordata; Mammalia; Proboscidea; Elephantidae
Source: Rfam by way of RNAcentral
UGGCACAGUGGUUUAUGCAUUUGGCUACUAUCCAAAAGUUUGGCGGUUCGAAUCCACC